Triplophysa dalaica is the source of this 2752-nucleotide long non-coding RNA. RefSeq lists it as uncharacterized. The transcript is spliced from 5 exons. NCBI's taxonomy places the organism in Eukaryota, Metazoa, Chordata, Actinopteri, Cypriniformes, Nemacheilidae. The record is from RefSeq and is a predicted model, not a curated record.
AUCAUGCACGUGGAACAAUAACUCAUCAAUUCACAACUAGACGCUGUUUGGGCGCGAGCUGCUUGAGUUUCUGCGCACGUCCCCUGCACGCCGGGCUCGCGUUGAGAUCCACUAAAGACUUGGUACCAGUCUUCCGGAAUAGGAAAACUGGAUACAUGGCAGAUAUCAAGAGAACGGAGUUGUAAUUUGCUAACGCAGUUUUAGAUCAGUUUGUAAAGAAAAAUACUGUUUAAUGCAUGGAAGUACACAGCAUUUGUGGAUGUGCUUAUAUGCAGUUUCAGAAGAAAAGUUACACAUUCUUUACCACCAAAUGCACUGCGACUGGUACCUUUACGGGUUUAACAUUUGGAUUCGAUUCUGUGAUGUGAUGGAUCGUCCCAAACUUGCUUAGUAUAUAAAAAAUAAAAGAUCAUCACGCACUGCAAAACAGGAACAAGAUGUUGAGGUGCUACACGUCAAUGACAAAACUUCGCAAUCAAACGAACACGGAUCAGAAGACGAGCGGAGAGUGGGAGUAGCGAUCAUGGUGGAGGAGUGAACCCGGAGCAGGUGAACACAGCUGCAGACCGCCAUGGGCUCUCAUCCUUCGGUCCCAGCUCUCCAUCUUCGGGUCUCCGAGAGACAGCAGGGGCCAGCCAGGGAGCGUCGGAGUGGGCAGGCGAGGCGGCUUGCUUCCCCCGCCGGCUACUGGCUCCUCGGCAACGAGGAGGGAGAGAAAUCAAUACUGAGAAGAGAUACUGCCAGGGGUCGCCCAACACAGCCUCCAGCCAUGGAGCCAUUGGAGACCGUGUACUAGGCGUUCUCUCCCUCUCAACCUGAUCUCAGUCAACUCACAUCAGCUGAAGAUAGGUUCGAGAGCUACGACGUUCUUCAUGAGUGUGUGUGGUUCUGCCGGAGGGCCUUUACAGACCCAGCAUCACUUGAUAAAACUGCGCCUGCUGGAGAACAAGCAGGAGAGGAAUGUCAAAGGUCUUUCUUUUCCCCAUCUUUGAUUCUUUUCCCACCUUGAGUGCACAUUCCCCCUGACUGUUUGAAUGAGCGCUUGACGGAGAUCUCUUUUACGCUUAAUCAAGAGGCCUUCUUAUUUUAGCCGUCUUUUUCCCGAGCAUGCACAAAGUGCUCUACAACAGAUGGGCCGGGAUGAGUGAACAGUUUGAACUGUUUUACCCUUUCCAGAGUGGUUUUAGAUAAUUUUUUUGAUAAUCGCCACCGUCUGAGGGUUCGGGAAAGGACUUGUUCAUUUAAAGGGACUUACCAGUCACCUUCCUUGGUUCCUUCAAAACAGUUUUAGUCCCUGACUGUGGCAUUUGAUGGGUAUUAACAUAGUUGCACACCAAUGGAGGAUGGCGAAAGUGCCUGAUAUCCUGACAGGCCCUCUUGAGCAACUUUCACCUCGCCACAGAUCGUCUUGGGAAUUGGAAGACUCUUGAAUGUCCCUUAAACAAGGUGCAAAAGUGGAAUGAAUGCCAUCAUUGCGCUGCGUUGCAGUGGAUCGUUCCUGUAUCAGUGAAUGCUCCAUGGGAAGGAAUUCGGUUUUAUGUGAACGCAAGAGCCACCAACCUCAGCUGAAUCCAAUGGUGCCUUGAACCGGAGACCAUCCCAGAUGAGACAGUACAUUUAUUUAGUCAUUUUACUUUAUUCCUUUUGUUGGACCUCAUACCCCAUCAGGUAAGUUUUUAUUAAUAGAAAAGGUACGUUUUUUCAGAUUUUGGUUUUAUUCAUUUAAUUUAAUCAAUUAAAACCUAAAUGUUGUUUUAUUGUUUUAUUUUAUUAUUUUAUUUCUAUAUAGUCUUGCUUUUAGCUGUGGUUUAUACGUAGAUAUAACAAUAAAUAUAAUAAAUGUUUAUUUCACAGUUAUGACUGUCUGACUCUGCAUUAUGUUGUUUAUUACACUGCCACUUUAAUAAUGAAAUAACUGUAUAUUAAAUAUAAAAUUGAAUUGAAUAAUUAUUUUAUUAUACAAGUAUAAAGAGACCACAGAGUGAUGUGACCUGUACAGUUUAUUAUAUGAAAAUAUUUGACUCAGUAUGAAUACUGAAAAUAAUAAACAGAUUUAUUCUGCAAAUAAACCUAUAAGUAAUAUAGCAAACUAUUGCAUUGAACUAAUUGCUGCCUUAUUUCUUGUAAAAAAUCAAACAAUAAAAGUGCUUAAUUGCUGAACCAAACCUUCAUUGUUGUGUUUUUUGCCAAAUUAAACAUAUUGAGUUGGAUAUAAUGUGAAAUGUAUUUCUCAUGGAAUGUGUUGAUAGAUCAAACACACACACACACACUUCUCUGGUGGCAAUCCCCUGCCUAUUGUUUUCCUCUAACUGUCAGCUCAAGAACUGCUCCAGUGCGCUUCAUUGCUCCUACUGAAACCUGCCCCUGAUUUCCAGCCCUUUGUCCAGCCCUCCUGGUCACCCAGCCCCUCUCACACAACAUGACCUGGGAUCAGGUCCAAGCCGCCCUGGCCGUGACUCAGGCACCAGGAGGCCAGACUUUGGCCUGAAAGGAAGCGAGGAGGAGAGAUUAUCCCAUCCUGGGCCGGUCCGGUGGAGAAUACGGUAGUAUUGACCAGGAGGGGUCACCCAUGGAGAGUCCAUUGAGGCAUGAGAUGGUCCGAUAUACAUGCUUACUGAGCAUGGCAGAUUCCCUUACUCUGAGCGGGAUAAACCCACAUAGAACAAGGCUCUUUGUUAGAGAUUAGGGUGGCAGCUCAUGUCCCUGAGUGCACCCUCUCUCUCAUACACACACAUACCUCGACCAUUCUCUU